Molecule: ribosomal RNA, 229 nt
Filed under: uncultured bacterium
Lineage: Bacteria
Description: partial 16S ribosomal RNA
Rfam family: Bacterial small subunit ribosomal RNA
Source: RNAcentral
UACGUAGGCGGAAAAUUUAGUCAGCGGUGAAAUCCCGCAGCUUAACUGUGGAACUGUCAUUGAUACUGGUUUUCUUGAAUUUAGUUGAGGUAGGCGGAAUGUGUAAUGUAGCGGUGAAAUGCUUAGAUAUUACACAGAACACCGAUUGCGAAGGCAGCUUACUAAGCUAUGAUUGACGCUGAGGUACGAAAGCGUGGGGAGCGAACAGGAUUAGAUACCCUGGUAGUCC